This 1280-nucleotide long non-coding RNA is filed under the name Ursus maritimus (polar bear). RNAcentral describes it as "lncRNA (ENSUMAG00000018440.1)". The record is from RNAcentral. Lineage: Eukaryota; Metazoa; Chordata; Mammalia; Carnivora; Ursidae.
UGACAAUGAAGAUCGGAAAGAAGCCGAGAAUGGAGGUGGAGUGAACGACGUUGUCAUGAAUCGAUUCUCCAAACGUCCACCAAUACAGGCAGAAGUUUACAAUCCUGACGAAGAAAACAGUAGGGACUCCAGGAAUAAGAAUCUCGGAGCUGACACUCGAGUAGGAUCGGGCUUGCAGACAGCCUGCUGUUUAAGGAUCUGCAACAAGGGCAGAUGUGCACGCAUUCGAUACUGUAUUGAAAAGAGCCACGGUUACAACCGUGACCCAGUUUCUGCAAUUGACAGAGGAAUAUAUGAUGUGUGUAGAGUGACAGUGUGUUGAUUCUGAAGCAGUAAAAAAUUUCAGUGACAAGCAAGAGGUGGUAAAAAUACUGGGGUUGAAACUGCCCAGCCAUCUGAGCUAUCUGGUUUGGAAGAGCUAUCCUGGUGAUUUCCCAACAUUGACCAGCAACCUCCUUGUCCAUUAUUCCAGCUGACUUGUUAGCAUUUGAUAGACUUUUGAAGAUAUUGUCUGGAAAUUAGGAACCGAUCUCAACUAUGAAGAAGAGUGAAGUUGUCCUUUUUUGGUGUUGUUGAAGCCUCUGCCUGUGCAAAUACCGUGGAGUCAGAAGACCUAUGACAGACUAAAUCUAAAUGUCUGGUCCACUGAGAAUGUAUUUAUGCAGGUGUGAAGCAUUUUCUGUGUCUUUUUCUCUUUCCCUUUGUCUUUUCCUCUUCCCUCCCCUCUUUCUUUCCUACCCUCCCCCCCUUUUUUUUUGGUCUUUUGUGCAUUUUAGUGUAUAAACAAAAUAGUGACUUAGUAGACAAUAGACUUAACACUUCCCAAAGAUGAAUGUUAAGAAUUCAACAUUUUGGGGGCGCCUGGGUGGCUCAGUCAUUAAGCGUCUGCCUUCUGCUCAGGGCGUGAUCCCAGCGUUCUGGGAUCGAGCCCCAUAUCAGGCUCCUCUGCUGGGAGCCUGCUUAUUCCUCUCCCACUCCCCCUGCUUGUGUUCCCUCUCUCGCUGGAUGUCUCUAAUCCAACAUUUUGUUUCUAUGAAAUAUUUGUGCACAAGAAGAUAGUGAAAAGUUAAAAUAUGUUCUUAUCUAUGCAUCUAUGAGACAUCUGUGCAACUACACCUAGUACGUAGCAAGAUAUCUAUCACUUUUUUUUACAUCUUUCUAUAAUUUUGAAUAAUUUUAAUAAUCCUUAUUUUUAAAAUAUUUUUGGCUUUGGUAAGUUAUGUGUUGGCUUCUUGGGGAAAGGGAAUAAAAUGACAAAUAUUUCCUAAACCUUAAAUAUA